UACUUACUCCCUCCGACCGGAAAUACUUGUCGAAGAAAUGGAUGUAUAUAUACAUUUCUCCGACAAGUAUUUCCGGGCGGAGGGAGUAUUAU
Non-coding RNA from Triticum aestivum (bread wheat), 92 nucleotides. The record is from Rfam. NCBI's taxonomy places the organism in Eukaryota, Viridiplantae, Streptophyta, Magnoliopsida, Poales, Poaceae.